UACAGGUGAGGGUGAAUCCUGGCUCAGUGACAGAGGGACAGAGUGUAACACUGACCUGUAACACCACCUGCACUCUGACUGGCAGCACAGUCUUCACCUGGUACAGAAACGGAUCUCCUCUGUCCUUCACCACCCAGACACACCAGCUCACAGCCAGCAGUGAAGAUGGAGGCACAUACUCCUGUGCUGUAAAAGGAUCUGAGCUUCUCCCCUCCCCUGCAGUGGCUCUUACUGUGAACUGGGAUUGGACAGAACUUGUGUGUGCAGUUGUUGGAAGCAUUGUGACUCUUGCACUGAUGGCUGUUAUUGUGUGGACGAGCUGAAGAGCAGCACUUUCACAGUGCCCGUCACGAUGAAGGCGCACUGGAUUUAAUCAGCUUCAGCUAGAAGAGUGCCCUCUACUGGCCCACCAGCACACCUUCAAGCAGCAGCCAUUUCCUCUCAGAGUAGCACAUGCUGUGCCAUGAACAAGUAUUCGCCCCCUUUCUGAUUUCCUCUGUUAUUGCCUAUUUUUCACUCUGAAUGGUUUCAAAUCUUUAGACAAACUAUAAUAUUAGACAAAGAAAACCUAAGUAAACACAAAACACAAACUGCUACACACACUCUUAAUACAUUACAUUACAUUACAUGAAUGGCAUUUGGCAGACGCUGUUAUCCAGAGCGACGUACAACAACGUGCAAAGUGCACACCCAUAACCAAGGAUAAGUGCGCUGAAAAACCCUAGAGGGAAGUACAAUUUCGACUGUUACCUGCACAACAAAGAUAUGGACCAGGGCCUAUUUGAUCUUUUUUUUUUUUUUUUUUUUUUUAUAAUACCGCGACACGCAAAUGCAUAACGCCAUUACUGCACAUGCUUACCAUAAAACCCUGCUACCCACACUCCUAUAACACCAUUACACACAGUAUAACCCUGCUACACACACUCCUAUAACACCAUUACACACUUACAGUAUAACCCUGCUACACACACUCCUAUAACACUGUUACACACAGUAUAACCCUGCUACACACACUCCUAUAAUACCAUUACACACAGUAUAACCCUGCUACACACACACUCCUAUAACACCAUUACACACAGUAUAACCCUGCUACACACACACUCCUAUAACACCAUUACACACAGUAUAACCCUGCUACACACACUCCUAUAACACCAUUACACACAGUAUAACCCUGCUACACACACUCCUAUAACACCAUUACACACAGUAUAACCCUGCUACACACACUCCUAUAACACCAUUACACACUUACAGUAUAACCCUGCUACACACACUCCUAUAACACCAUUACACACAGUAUAACCCUGCUACACACACUCCUAUAACACCAUUACACACAGUAUAACCCUGCUACACACACUCCUAUAACACCAUUACACACAGUAUAACCCUGCUACACACACACUCCUAUAACACCAUUACACACAGUAUAACCCUGCUACACACACUCCUAUAACACCAUUACACACAGUAUAACCCUGCUACACACACUCCUAUAACACCAUUACACACAGUAUAACCCUGCUACACACCCUCCUAUAACACCAUUACACACAGUAUAACCCUGCUACACACACUCCUAUAACACCAUUACACACAGUAUAACCCUGCUACACACACUCCUAUAACACCAUUACACACAGUAUAACCCUGCUACACACACUCCUAUAACACCAUUACACACAGUAUAAC
Molecule: long non-coding RNA, 1698 nt
Organism: Conger conger (European conger)
Lineage: Eukaryota; Metazoa; Chordata; Actinopteri; Anguilliformes; Congridae
Exons: 3
Source: RefSeq, a predicted model, not a curated record